GGCGCAGGCGGCACCCCCGGGCCCGGUUGCUACGGCAGCCUCGGCUCGGCCUGCCCGGCCUCGGGGUCUCUUGGUGUCCCCCCGUGUCUCCCGUGUCCCCUUCGUGCCCCUGUGCUCCUGUGAUUUGUGUCGCUGCGCUCCGUGUCACUGCCCGUCUCUGGAGUGGCAGUGCCCGCCCGCAGCGCCGCAGUCCGGCCGGGUGGUUGAAGGCCCGGCGAGGGCGCUGGCACGGGAGCCCCCAUUGUUCGGGAAGUGGAGUUUGUUCAGUGACACAUCAUGGAAAUCGUUCGGGAGAGCGGCAGGAGCGCUCCCUGCCUCUCGCUGAUGGGUGGGGGCUGCUGGUGUGACACUGGGGUGGCUGGUGGGAUACUGGGGCUGCUGGUGUGACAGUGGGACAGCCAGACGGACACUGGGACUACUGGUGUGACACUGGGGCUGCUAAAGGGGCCCUGGAGCUGCUCGUGUGACAGUGGGGCUGCUAAAGGGGCACUGGGGCUGCUGGUGUGACACUGGAGCAGCCAGAGGGACACUGGGGCAGCCAGAGGGACACUGGGGAUGCUGGUGUGACCCUGGGGCUGUUCAUGGGACACUGGGAUUGCUGGCGUGACAUUGGGACAGUCGGAGGGGGCACUGGGACAGCCAGAGGGACACUGCCACAGCAGAGACUGGAGCACAAGGCAGUGCUGGUGGGUGUUUACAGGCACACGGGGCUGUUCUUUCUGGGUUACUGGCAAAGAAUUUUAGAAAUUAGCAAUAGCAACGCUGCGUGUUUUCAUUUGCAGGUAGAGAACUGCAUGGAUGGUGCAUUAACAGAUCAAAUCUCUGCAAGGGCCUGAGCUGUGCCUUCCCCCUCCUGCUUGCCUCCCUCCUGCCACACGCCGGGGUGACACCAGCUGUCCCCAACCCGGGAUUGGCCCACAGCUGGGACCGUCCGAGCGGAGUCACAAUAUUUCAGCAACCUGUGGUUUGUUGUAACCUCUCAUUUCCUCAAUCUGCUGUGUGUUAAGUGGGUCCUUCAGUGGGGAGUUCCUCGGGGCUCAGCGGGGUGCAGCUGGGGUCCCUCUCGCAGGACGGCUGGUUUGUGCUGGCAGCAUUUCCUGGGAUUUUCUUAAAGCUUUGGUGAGUUUCCCUUCCACAAGUGAGUCUCUGUCCUGUGGGACACCAGCCUCCAUAGGGGCCAAGGUAUGAACCACACACUCAGGAAGCUGGUUGUCAUUUUGAUUUUGGGUUAUUUUUUUUUUUUUUUUUUUUAAUUUGAAAUACUUCUUUGAAGCAGAUUCAGGGCAGAUGCCACUGACCUCUUACCACAAACACAUAUUUGCAAUGAUAAAGUCAUACAGCUUUUGUGUUUAAAACACAAAAUAAGGGGUGAGGGAAGAGAAAGAGGCCCCUGCUGUGUGUGUCUGGGUCCCAGGUGAGGGAGCGUGGCCACGUGGCUUCAGUCUUAUCCCCUGGCUGAGUGGGGCUGUGUGCUCGAGCUCCAUUUGAGGCCUUUGAUCAUGAAAUCAAUCCCAUGUCUGGGUCCUUCACUGGUUUAUGCUCCACCUCUCCUCCCUGCUGUCCCCACAGAGCCCUGGGGACGCUGUGGCUUUGCCUCCACGUGUGCUCCCACUCCUCAGCAGCGUUCUCCCACAGCCCUGGGCGGGGUGUGUGUGCAGCCUCCUUCAGGAUGUGUGUGUGGCCUCUGUCAGUCCGUGGGUCAGUCUGGAGUAUAUGUCUGUCUCUGGACACGUUACAUGGUGUAGCAGUGCUCUGUUCAAUAAAGCUUUCAUAUACAUAGCA
Long non-coding RNA from Serinus canaria (Common canary), 1782 nucleotides. RefSeq lists it as uncharacterized. The record is from RefSeq and is a predicted model, not a curated record. NCBI's taxonomy places the organism in Eukaryota, Metazoa, Chordata, Aves, Passeriformes, Fringillidae. The transcript is spliced from 2 exons.